UUCUUUAUUGCCAUGGAAACCGAGAUGCUUGGGAUAAGGGCGGGAUUGGCAAGCCAGCACAAGAGUCUCAGAAGAAGCAAGUCUGCUCAUUGCUGGCCUGCCCGUCAGCUUUAUUUCUAAGAACUACAGCACAAGAGAAAUUUCCAAGAGAAAAUUGUGCAAAUGUUGGCAAUUAUGGAAUCAUCUUUGAUGAGGCGAAGGCAGCCACUAAUCUGCAUCAGCCUCUGGCUUUGACUCUUCUAGACUAUGCUGAAGAGAACCUUACCCGUAUGUAUAUUACAGUUGACGUCUUCUGUCCUCAAUGCCAGAUAAUUUCAACUACCAUGAAAAAUACUGCCAGGCAGGGUGGCGCUUGCCUGUAAUCCCAGCACUCAGGGAGGCAGAGACAGGCGUAUCACCAUGAGUUUGAGACCAGCCUGGUCUACGAAGCGAGUCCAGCACAGCCAAGGUUACACAGAGAAACCCUGUCUUAAAAAUGGCGCUUAAGACAUAACUCAAUUGAGGAUGGCCAAGUGGACUAUAGGACUCUGCACUGACCCUGUCUCAUUCCAGCUCACGUGAAAGAAGACAAAGGAUACUUCCAGAAAUGGGAUUACACUUCCUCCAAUUACAUCUCCUGGGCAGAAGUUAAUUUCAUGGUCAUUUAAGAACAAGAAAUACUAGAAAACAUCACAUUUAUCUAGGAAGUUACUUAGGAACUGAGGAUUUUAUUCCUGAGGAAUUAGGUAAAAUAGACAGUUUAAAAAUUAGUAGCAUUUUGAUAUCACAGAAAAAGCAUCUGCUUUCACUCAAGGCUAGCUGUCAUUGCCAUCUGAGAUGGGGCUGUGUCUCAGACAAGUGAUCAAACAUCACAGGAAGUUAUACACCAGCCUUUCUUAUUAUCAGCUCGCCAUUUGCGUUAUUAUAAGCAUUGUGUCCAUUUGCAGUUCACUUUAUGGAAAGAUAAUUUGAACACAUGCGAUUUUAGUAGACAACUAAAAAUCAGUUUUAAAAAUAGAUCAAUUAUUAGUCCAUGAUCACACACAUUUGUCAUGGAAUAAACUGAGCCUAGUUCAGCUUAACACCCUAUUCUUAAACCAUCACAGUGUAUCCUACCAUGACAUAUGCUUGUAAUGAUCUAAAUUUUUAAAAAAAUGUUUCUUUUUUUUGACAUUUUUUUAUUUUAUUAUUAUUAUUUUUUUAUCAGUUACAUUUUAUUAACUCUGUAUCCCAGCCAUGUUCCGAUCCCUCAUUCCCUCCCAGUCCCUCCCUCCCUCCCUCAUCUCCACCGUGCCCCUUUCCAAGUCCACUGAUAGGGGGGACCUCCUCCCCAUUCAUCUGAUCCUGUUUUAUCAGGUAUCUUCAGGACUGUCUGCAAAAGCCCUCCUCUGUGGCCUAACAGGACUGCUCCUCCCUUCGGGGGUGGGGAGACCAAAGAGCCAGUCAUUGAGUUCCUGUUGGAAAUAGUCCCU
Molecule: long non-coding RNA, 1451 nt
Organism: Meriones unguiculatus (Mongolian gerbil)
Lineage: Eukaryota; Metazoa; Chordata; Mammalia; Rodentia; Muridae
Exons: 4
Source: RefSeq, a predicted model, not a curated record